UGGUUCUGGCAUCGAUGAAGAACGCAGCGAAAUGCGAUAAGUAAUGUGAAUUGCAGAAUUCAGUGAAUCAUCGAAUCUUUGAACGCACAUUGCGCCCACUAGCAUUCUAUUGGGCAUGCUUGUUCGAGCGUCCUCAAAAACCCCUCGGGCCCUGCAGGCUUCUGCGGCGGCCCGGUGUUGGGAGGCAGCGGCUGCCGCUGCCCCCUAAAUCCAGCGGCGGACCCCUCCGUGGCCCUGGCGUAGUAAACAUCCUCGUCUUCGGCCGCCGGUUGGGCCCUGCCCCUAGAACCGUCUCCUAAAUUUGGACCUCGAAUCAAGUAGGAAUACCCGCUGA
RNAcentral lists this unclassified non-coding RNA (334 nucleotides) under uncultured fungus. RNAcentral's name for it is "partial contains 5.8S ribosomal RNA and internal transcribed spacer 2". The stretch from base 1 to 133 matches the Rfam family "5.8S ribosomal RNA", at positions 22 to 154 of the family's 154-position model. Lineage: Eukaryota; Fungi. The record is from RNAcentral.